Molecule: long non-coding RNA, 1024 nt
Filed under: Homo sapiens (human)
Lineage: Eukaryota; Metazoa; Chordata; Mammalia; Primates; Hominidae
Description: HSALNT0183399
Source: RNAcentral
GUAGAACUGCAAUUUCCAUUCUUUUAAAUGGGUGAAAAAUGGUAAUAUAACAAUAUAUGAUAUAUAAACCUUAAAUGAAAAAAAUGAUCUAUUGCAGAUAUUUGAUGUAGUUUUCUUUUUUAAAUUAAUCAGAAACCCCACUUCCAUUGUAUUGUCUGACACAUGCUCUCAAUAUAUAAUAAAUGGGAAAUGUCGAUUUUCAAUAAUAGACUUAUAUGCAGGCUGUCGUUCCGGUUAUGUUGUGUAAGUCAACUCUUCAGCCUCAUUCACUGUCCUGGCUUUUAUUUAAAGAAAAAAAAGGCAGUAUUCCCUUUUUAAAUGAGCUUUCAGGAAGUUGCUGAGAAAUGGGGUGGAAUAGGGAACUGUAAUGGCCACUGAAGCACGUGAGAGACCCUCGCAAAAUGAUGUGAAAGGACCAGUUUCUUGAAGUCCAGUGUUUCCACGGCUGGAUACCUGUGUGUCUCCAUAAAAGUCCUGUCACCAAGGACGUUAAAGGCAUUUUAUUCCAGCGUCUUCUAGAGAGCUUAGUGUAUACAGAUGAGGGUGUCCGCUGCUGCUUUCCUUCGGAAUCCAGUGCUUCCACAGAGAUUAGCCUGUAGCUUAUAUUUGACAUUCUUCACUGUCUGUUGUUUACCUACCGUAGCUUUUUACCGUUCACUUCCCCUUCCAACUAUGUCCAGAUGUGCAGGCUGUCCCUGAAACUGAGUCUGUGGACACUGUGGAAAGCUUUGAACAAUUGUGUUUUCGUCACAGGAGUCUUUGUAAUGCUUGUACAGUUGAUGUCGAUGCUCACUGCUUCUGCUUUUUCUUUCUUUUUAUUUUAAAUCUGAAGGUUCUGGUAACCUGUGGUGUAUUUUUAUUUUCCUGUGACUGUUUUUGUUUUGUUUUUUUCCUUUUUCCUCCCCUUUGACCCUAUUCAUGUCUCUACCCACUAUGCACAGAUUAAACUUCACCUACAAACUCCUUAAUAUGAUCUGUGGAGAAUGUACACAGUUUAAACACAUCAAUAAAUACUUUAACUUCC